RNAcentral lists this ribosomal RNA (515 nucleotides) under uncultured bacterium. Its description in RNAcentral is "partial 16S ribosomal RNA". It matches the Rfam family "Bacterial small subunit ribosomal RNA", at positions 28 to 523 of the family's 1533-position model. The record is from RNAcentral.
GAUGAACGCUGGCGGCGUGCCUAAUACAUGCAAGUCGAGCGAAUGGAUUGAGAGCUUGCUCUUAUGAAGUUAGCGGCGGACGGGUGAGUAACACGUGGGUAACCUGCCCAUAAGACUGGGAUAACUCCGGGAAACCGGGGCUAAUACCGGAUAACAUUUUGAACCGCAUGGUUCGAAAUUGAAAGGCGGCUUCGGCUGUCACUUAUGGAUGGACCCGCGUCGCAUUAGCUAGUUGGUGAGGUAACGGCUCACCAAGGCAACGAUGCGUAGCCGACAUGAGAGGGGGAUCGGCCAAACUGGGACUGAGACACGGCCCAGACUCCUACGGGAAGCAGCAGGAGGGAAUCUUCCGCAAUGGACGAAAGUCUGACGGAGCAACGCCGCGUGAGUGAUGAAGGCUUUCGGGUCGUAAAACUCUGUUGUUAGGGAAGAACAAGUGCUAGUUGAAUAAGCUGGCACCUUGACGGUACCUAACCAGAAAGCCACGGCUAACUACGUGCCAGCAGCCGCGGUAA